GACGAGGGGUCCUAGCGUUGUUCGGAAUCAUUGGGCGUAAAGCGUGUGUAGGUGGCUAUUCAAGUCAGUUGUGAAAUCCCCGGGCUUAACCCGGGAAGUGCUUCUGAUACUGUUUAGCUUGAGUACUGGAGAGGAUAGUAGAAUUCCUGGUGUAGUGGUGAAAUACGUAGAUAUCAGGAGGAAUACCGGUGGCGAAGGCGGCUAUCUGGCCAUGUACUGACGCUGAGACACGAAAGCAUGGGGAGCAAACAGG
RNAcentral lists this ribosomal RNA (253 nucleotides) under uncultured bacterium. Its description in RNAcentral is "partial 16S ribosomal RNA". It matches the Rfam family "Bacterial small subunit ribosomal RNA", at positions 524 to 776 of the family's 1533-position model. The record is from RNAcentral.